UGUGGUCCGUUGGUUGCAUCUUCGGUAACUUCGAUUUUCAACCCUCGUUUCCUCUUAGUUACGUUGUGCCAAGCUAUUAUGGUUCCGAGUUUUGACCCUAUUUCAUUUCAUUUGUUUUCACUUUGUUCGAUGAAUGAAAUUCUCCCUACAUCAUUUCUGAUCUUGACAAAUUGACUUCCAUUUAGAGCAAUUCUUACCAUUUCUUGUUUCUGGGUUUCUUUUUUUUUUAAUGGAAACUCUUUUUCAGCUGAAAUGGUCAGAAGGCAAG
This 268-nucleotide unclassified non-coding RNA is filed under the name Hevea brasiliensis (rubber tree). The record is from RNAcentral. Lineage: Eukaryota; Viridiplantae; Streptophyta; Magnoliopsida; Malpighiales; Euphorbiaceae.